This 2933-nucleotide long non-coding RNA is filed under the name Mus musculus (house mouse). Its description in RNAcentral is "RIKEN cDNA C230062I16 gene". The record is from RNAcentral. Lineage: Eukaryota; Metazoa; Chordata; Mammalia; Rodentia; Muridae.
CUUCAGGGAAGAAGCGAGACAGGGAAGUGGCUGGGGAGUGUCCACCUGGAAUCUGGUCGCCAGGCCUUCUGUGCGUCCCUGGAAGUAGGAAAUGGUUGUUACAGUUCUGCGAGCCUGUCACCCAAUGUGCGACUGAAUCUAUGCCUGGUACCUUCCCUUUCCCCCUUGUGCAUCAUCGGGGAGCCUCCUUGUGACUAGAAUGUAAGUCCGUUGUUAGUGAUGGCAGCCUGUGGCACCAGAGCGUCUGAGACGUGUAGGAGAGAGUGAACAUCUGACAUCAUGUACAUCCAUGUGUGUGACAGUGGCUGGCAAUGUCGUCUUUGAGACUUUGAGUAUGUGAGUUUCCUGAAACUGUCACCCAGUGUCUUUUCUGUAAGCUCUGUAAAGUUGCUGCCCAAGGAAUAAAUUGAAAAUGACUUGAGCAUGGAUUAUAUCGUAUGCAAACCAAUUCCUAUGUCUCUACCAACUCUGUUUACUGAAGGGAAGGUUGCAACAGGAGGAAGGAACAUCAGAUGGUAGGUAAUGUGGAUGCUGAGAGGAAUGCCAAGUUUGCCGUGUUCUUUUCCCAUCUCAGCUAGCCCAGAUCGCCAUUUCUUAGGAGGAGCUGAGAGGAAGAGUGGCUGUCGGACUUCUUAAAGCCGUGCACCAGGCCUUUGCUUUUCUAAGCCAAGUGUAAUAUUCCUGUUGGAACAAGGGAAAGACCCAUGGACCGUGAAGACAGAGCUGACAGACAGUUUCUCCACAGAUACACUCUCAUGACCAUGUUUCCUAGAUACAUAUAGAGAAGACACUUGUUAUUGUUACUUUUAGGCUGGGAGUCUGUGCAUGAGACUGAAGAAUUAAUCCCAAAGCAGGAGCUCUGUGAAGAGCAGUCACCUGGAAAGAUAAUCGAAGGACUCAGAAGUCUCGGCCUGGAGUAUCCCAGUUGGCUGAAAGAAUGGAGUCCGGGUCAUCAUUUCGAGAGGCCACCCGGGAAUUUAAAGGCUUGUCUCGAAGAAGAGACCAUUGCUUUGGAAGCUUUCACUGAUAACAGACCUCGGGGAAGUUUCCACCAGAGCACAUUGCUUCAAACGCACCAGACAAGCCCAGAAGAUGAGAAGGCAUACAAAGAAGGCACACACCAGAAGAUCUUGAGAAAAAGCUCGGAGCCUCUUAAGCCCAAGAUCAUCUGCUCAGAGAAGAAACGACUGAAGUGCAAUGUCUGCGAGAAGGUUUUUAGCCAGAGCUCAUCCCUCACUCUCCAUCAGAGAAUCCACACUGGAGAGAAACCUUAUGCGUGCAUAAAAUGUGGGAAAGCCUUCAGCCAGAGAUCCAACCUUGUCCAGCAUCACAGGAUUCACACCAGAGAGUAAGUAUGUGGGAAGUGUAAGGAAUGUGGGAAGGCCUUCAGCCAGAAUGCACAUCUGGUUCAGCACCUGGGAGUUCACACUGGAGAGAAGCCUUAUGGGUGUAAGGUGUGCAGGAAGACCUUCAGCCAGUUUGCCUACCUUGCUCAACAUCAGAGAGUUCACACUGGGGAGAAGCCCUAUGAAUAUAUCAAAUGUGGGAAAGCUUUUAGCAAUAGGUCAUCCAUUGCUCAACACCAGAGAGUUCACACCGGAGAGAAACCUUAUGAGUGCAGGGUCUGUGGGAAAGCAUUUAGCCUUCGUGCAUACCUCACUGUGCAUCAGAGAGUUCACACAGGGGAGAGACCCUAUGAAUGUAAGGAAUGUGGGAAGGCCUUCAGCCAAAAUUCCCACCUUGCUCAACAUCAGAGAAUUCAUACCGGAGAAAAACCGUAUAAGUGCCAAGAAUGUAGGAAGGCCUUCAGCCAGAUUGCCUACCUUGCUCAGCACCAGCAAGUUCACACUGGGGAGAAGCCCUAUGAGUGUAUCAAGUGUGGGAAGGCCUUUAGCAAUGACUCCUACCUUGCUCAGCACCAGUGAGUUCACACUCGGGAGAAGCCCUACGAGUGUAAUGUUUGUGGGAAGGCUUUCAGUUACUGUGGAUCCCUUGCCCAACAUCAGAGAAUCCACACAGGAGAGAGACCCUAUGAAUGUAAAGAAUGCAAGAAAACCUUCAAGCAACACGCACACCUCGCUCAUCACCAGAGAAUUCACGUCGGGAAGUCACUCCUACCACCCAGUCCAGGCAGUCACCAAGCCCUAUAAAUGCCAUCUUCUAAGUAUUUCUGGAAUUUAUGUUCUUUUCUCUGAUUUUAGUGUUGAUUACAACUAUACAGUUUUCAUGGGUUUUCUACCGUCUACUAUUACUAUCUUCAAAUCUUUUUUCCGUAAUAUGCAAAAAAUUAUUUUUACUUUGACGUGGGAUGUUGUGUAGUACAAGCUGGCCUUAGACUCACAUGUACAAAAUAGAAAACCCAGCUGGGCAGUGGUGGCGCACGCCUUUAAUCCCAGCACUCAGGAGGCAGAGGCAGGCAGAUUUCUGAGUUCCAGGCCAGCCUGGUCUACAGAGUGAGUUCCAGGACAGCCAGGGCUACACAGAGAAACCCUGUCUCCAAAGGAAAAAAAAAAAAAAAAAAAAAAAGAAAAGAAAUGACAAUACCAAAAUUCUGCCAGCACUUAGCUCUCUGCCAGUACAAAAAUAACAACUGAAAAUACAGAGAAACACCUUAUGUUUUGAGGAGGUCACCCCAACAGAUGUAAAGGAGAAAAAGUAUUUAAAAAUAAAGAAAUAUCGCCGGUGCUCGCGGGUGUCUGGUUGGUGCUCAUUCUCCAUCUUUCUAAACUUUUAUUUAUUUAUUUAUUUAUUUAUUUGGUUUUCCGAGACAGGGUUUCUCUGUAUAGCCCUGGCUGUCCUGGAACUCACUCUGUAGACCAGGCUGACCUCGAACUAAGAAAUCUGCCUGCUUCUGCCUCCUGAGUGCUGGGAUUAAAGGCGUGUACCACCACGCCUGGCCUUUCUAAACUUUUAAUAAUAAAGAAUAAAUGGUA